RNAcentral lists this ribosomal RNA (253 nucleotides) under uncultured bacterium. RNAcentral's name for it is "partial 16S ribosomal RNA". It matches the Rfam family "Bacterial small subunit ribosomal RNA", at positions 524 to 776 of the family's 1533-position model. The record is from RNAcentral.
UACGAAGGGGGCUAGCGUUGCUCGGAAUUACUGGGCGUAAAGGGAGCGUAGGCGGAUAGUUCAGUCAGAGGUGAAAGCCCAGGGCUCAACCUUGGAAUUGCCUUUGAUACUGGCUGUCUUGAGUAUGGGAGAGGUUAGCGGAACUCCGAGUGUAGAGGUGAAAUUCGUAGAUAUUCGGAAGAACACCAGUGGCGAAGGCGGCUAACUGGCCCAUUACUGACGCUGAGACGCGAAAGCGUGGGGAGCGAACGGG